UAAUUCUUUAGUCUUAUUAUCACUUCACUACCGGAGAUCCUUGUAGAAAAGAAGUAUUCUGCCUCAUCUAGCUUUUAUGCUACUAUAAAUAUGUACUUGUUAUAUUCUGGAACAUGUUUUUGGCAACGUGCUGUGAAAGUGGGAGGAAGCAGAGAAGACUUUUUGCAGGACUGAGAGCUGGGAUAGUCUCUGUGGCUGCUGCAAGCCCUCUGAAUGAUCCUGUUUUCUGCGAACAAGACAAAGCAAGGAAGUGGGCCAUCAUCCCUGCCUUUCAGUGCAGUGUGUCCUCUUGA
RNAcentral lists this long non-coding RNA (293 nucleotides) under Phasianus colchicus (ring-necked pheasant). Its description in RNAcentral is "lncRNA (ENSPCLG00000020341.1)". Lineage: Eukaryota; Metazoa; Chordata; Aves; Galliformes; Phasianidae. The record is from RNAcentral.